RNAcentral lists this ribosomal RNA (446 nucleotides) under uncultured bacterium. Its description in RNAcentral is "partial 16S ribosomal RNA". It matches the Rfam family "Bacterial small subunit ribosomal RNA", at positions 338 to 795 of the family's 1533-position model. The record is from RNAcentral.
CCUACGGGUGGCUGCAGUCGAGAAUCAUUCACAAUGGGGGAAACCCUGAUGGUGCGACGCCGCGUGGGGGAAUGAAGGUCUUCGGAUUGUAAACCCCUGUCAUGUGGGAGCAAAUUAAAAAGAUAGUACCACAAGAGGAAGAGUCGGCUAACUCUGUGCCAGCAGCCGAGGUAAUACGGAGGUCUCAAGCGUUGUUCGGAAUCACUGGGCGGAAAGCGUGCGUAGGCUGUUUCGUAAGUAGUGUGUGAGAGGCGCGGGCUCAACCCGCGGACGGCACAUGAUACUGCGAGACUAGAGUAAAGGAGGGGGAACCGGAAUUCUCGGUGUAGCAGUGAAAUGCGUAGAUAUCGGGAGGAACACUCGUGGCGAAGGCGGGUUCCUGGACAUUAACUGACGCUGAGGCACGAAGGCCAGGGGAGCGAAAGGGAUUAGAUACCCUUGUAGUC